Molecule: ribosomal RNA, 241 nt
Filed under: uncultured bacterium
Lineage: Bacteria
Description: partial 16S ribosomal RNA
Rfam family: Bacterial small subunit ribosomal RNA
Source: RNAcentral
GAUCAUGGCUCAGGACGAACGCUGGCGGCGCGCCUAACACAUGCAAGUCGAACGAGCGAGAGAGAGCUUGCUUUCUCGAGCGAGUGGCGAACGGGUGAGUAACGCGUGAGGAACCUGCCUCAAAGGAGGGGGACAACAGUUGGAAACGACUGCUAAUACCGCAUAAGCCCACGGGUCGGCAUCGACCAGAGGGAAAAGGAGCAAUCCGCUUUGAGAUGGCCUCGCGUCCGAUUAGCUUAGG